AACGAACGCUGGCGGCAUGCCUAACACAUGCAAGUCGAACGAGACCUUCGGGUCUAGUGGCGCACGGGUGCGUAACGCGUGGGAACCUGCCCUUAGGUUCGGAAUAACUCCCCGAAAGGGGUGCUAAUACCGGAUAAUGUCUUCGGACCAAAGAUUUAUCGCCUUUGGAUGGGCCCGCGUUGGAUUAGCUAGUUGGUAGGGUAAAAGCCUACCAAGGCGACGAUCCAUAGCUGGUCUGAGAGGAUGAUCAGCCACACUGGGACUGAGACACGGCCCAGACUCCUGCGGGAGGCAGCAGUGGGGAAUAUUGGACAAUGGGCGAAAGCCUGAUCCAGCAAGGCCGCGUGAGUGAUGAAGGCCUUAGGGUUGUAAAGCUCUUUUACCCGGGAUGAUAAUGACAGUACCGGGAGAAUAAGCUCCGGCUAACUCCGU
This 432-nucleotide ribosomal RNA is filed under the name uncultured bacterium. RNAcentral describes it as "partial 16S ribosomal RNA". It matches the Rfam family "Bacterial small subunit ribosomal RNA", at positions 29 to 506 of the family's 1533-position model. The record is from RNAcentral.